AUUGAACGCUGGCGGCAGGCCUAACACAUGCAAGUCGAGCGGAUGAAGGGAGCUUGCUCCUGGAUUCAGCGGCGGACGGGUGAGUAAUGCCUAGGAAUCUGCCUGGUAGUGGGGGAUAACGUCCGGAAACGGGCGCUAAUACCGCAUACGUCCUGAGGGAGAAAGUGGGGGAUCUUCGGACCUCACGCUAUCAGAUGAGCCUAGGUCGGAUUAGCUAGUUGGCGGGGUAAAGGCCUACCAAGGCGACGAUCCGUAACUGGUCUGAGAGGAUGAUCAGUCACACUGGAAUGGGGACACGGUCCAGACUCCUACGGGAGGCAGCAGUGGGGAAUAUUGGACAAUGGGCGAAAGCCUGAUCCAGCCAUGCCGCGUGUGUGAAGAAGGUCUUCGGAUUGUAAAGCACGUUAAGUUGGGAGGAAGGGCAGUAAGUUAAUACCUUGCUGUUUUGACGUUACCAACAGAAUAAGCACCGGCUAACUUCGUG
This 484-nucleotide ribosomal RNA is filed under the name uncultured bacterium. RNAcentral's name for it is "partial 16S ribosomal RNA". It matches the Rfam family "Bacterial small subunit ribosomal RNA", at positions 30 to 507 of the family's 1533-position model. The record is from RNAcentral.